GUUGAUUUGGGGAUGUUGUUGGUUUGUGGUUUUGUGGAUUACUCCUGGAAUUUGCAUUAAAUACUCUCUUGAACUUUACUCCUUCGUCGUGUGCUUGACUGGACAGCCAACACAUUACAGUCAGUGGCGUCCAGUGUUUAGUUCCCAACAUUCUUCAAAAUAUAUCUUCAGUGUUUCACAGCAGAAAGUCAGUCAUACAGCUCUGAAUGAGAGUUCGUGAUGGCAGAAUGAUCAUUAAUAGCUGAACUAAAUCUGUCUCAAAGAUGAUUAGAAUCAGAGACACCACGUGUGUUUCUGUGGAUUGGAGCCGCUGUGUGAGAUCUUCACACAGCUCUUCUGGACUUGGGACUUGUUCUGAGACUCGUGGCAGUAUCUGGGUCCGUUUCACAUGCCUGUCGCUCUGAAGUCUGCUCCCAGCCGUUCAUUCUUGCUCUCGCCUGUCAUUCUGUUUUUGAGUGCAGUGGAAAACGAAAGCGAAUUCUGUGCAAAGUGUAUCCAGAUGAGGGAGCGCUGGAGCUGAUCUGAGUAAUGAGAGACUGAAGAGCUGAUCUUACCUGGAUGUUGAGCCGGCCCCUGUGUGGCCCCAGACCGUAGUGUCUCAUGCUGGAUGCGUGGAGCUGAAAGUCAUCGAUCUUCAGCGUCUCCAGACCCAGCGGAGGACAGUCUGUCAGGAGAGAAGCGCUUUGAGGAAUCUGAGUUGAUGAUCCGUGCAGCUCCGAGUCGGAGACACUGUCAUAACAUCUAUCUGUUCAGGAAACCUGGCUUCAGUCCUCUGGCUGAUUCAGAAGCUAUCUGUCUGACUGACCAGUGACAGUCGAAGGAGUGUUCAAGAAACCUGUCUGGAAACAGUCACUAUUCUCUCAGACGUGACUUCAGACUCCUUCAGAUGAGAGUCCUAUUAAACCUGACCAUCUGACUGGACAAUCACAUGCUCUCACUCAUUCUGCAUUUGUUCUUCUGUGUAAUCAUACUAAACACAAUAUAAAUGUAUUUCACAAGCAAAGAAUUUUUUUUUUUUUCUAGAAUAAACUAUUCUUCUUGUUC
Cyprinus carpio (common carp) is the source of this 1044-nucleotide long non-coding RNA. RefSeq lists it as uncharacterized. NCBI's taxonomy places the organism in Eukaryota, Metazoa, Chordata, Actinopteri, Cypriniformes, Cyprinidae. The transcript is spliced from 2 exons. The record is from RefSeq and is a predicted model, not a curated record.